RNAcentral lists this long non-coding RNA (302 nucleotides) under Lotus japonicus. Its description in RNAcentral is "long non-coding RNA (LJAP_LNC000367)". Lineage: Eukaryota; Viridiplantae; Streptophyta; Magnoliopsida; Fabales; Fabaceae. The record is from RNAcentral.
AACCAUAUCCUCUCAUGUUUAUUGUUCUGCAAAUUAAAUCAUUGAUUUGUUAUCUUAUUUUUUCAACAGGCAAAAGAGUGAUAAGGGGAAAGCUCGCAAUGGAUAUAGCCAUGAAGGGGAUAUAUAUAUAUAUAGAGAGAGAGAGACACACAAAGUAAUUAUGUUCUGUGAAUUCUGCAAAAUGCUGAAUUUUGUAGAAGGAAUUUGCUUUUGGUCUAGGGUAAUGUUCAUGAACUUCAUCUGACACUAAAGUUAGUGUUUGGAUCUUCCAUACAUUGAUUUUUUUUUUUGAUAUAUUUUUU